This 73-nucleotide transfer RNA is filed under the name Camelus ferus (Wild Bactrian camel). It matches the Rfam family "tRNA". From Rfam's summary of the family: Transfer RNA (tRNA) molecules are approximately 80 nucleotides in length. Their secondary structure includes four short double-helical elements and three loops (D, anti-codon, and T loops). Further hydrogen bonds mediate the characteristic L-shaped molecular structure. tRNAs have two regions of fundamental functional importance: the anti-codon, which is responsible for specific mRNA codon recognition, and the 3' end, to which the tRNAs corresponding amino acid is attached (by aminoacyl-tRNA synthetases). tRNAs cope with the degeneracy of the genetic code in two manners: having more than one tRNA (with a specific anti-codon) for a particular amino acid; and 'wobble' base-pairing, i.e. permitting non-standard base-pairing at the 3rd anti-codon position. The record is from Rfam by way of RNAcentral. Lineage: Eukaryota; Metazoa; Chordata; Mammalia; Artiodactyla; Camelidae.
GAGGGUGUAGUUCAAGUGGUAGAAUGCAUGCUUAGCAUGCACGAGGUCCUGGGUUCAGUCCCCAGCAUCUCCU